GACAGAGGUUGCAAACGUUGUUCGGAAUUACUGGGCAUAAAGCGCACGUAGGCGGUCCGUUAAGUCAUGUGUGAAAUCCCCCGGCUCAACCGGGGAAUUGCGCCUGAUACUGUCGGGCUAGAGGUCGAUAGGGGUGAGCGGAACUCCAGGUGGAGCGGUGAAAUGCGUAGAUAUCUGGAGGAACACCGGUGGCGAAAGCGGCUCACUGGAUCGAAACUGACGCUGAGGUGCGAAAGCUAGGGUAGCAAACGGG
RNAcentral lists this ribosomal RNA (253 nucleotides) under uncultured bacterium. Its description in RNAcentral is "partial 16S ribosomal RNA". It matches the Rfam family "Bacterial small subunit ribosomal RNA", at positions 524 to 776 of the family's 1533-position model. The record is from RNAcentral.